UACAGAGGUGGCAAGCGUUGUUCGGAAUUACUGGGCGUAAAGGGCGCGUAGGCGGGCUUCUAAGUCUUGUGUGAAAUCCCUCGGCUCAACUGAGGAACUGCACGGGAUACUGGAAGACUUGAGUUCGGGAGAGGGAAGCGGAAUUCCGGGUGUAGCGGUGAAAUGCGUAGAUAUCCGGAGGAACACCGGUGGCGAAGGCGGGUCUCUGGGCCGUAACUGACGCUGAGGAGCGAAAGCGUGGGGAGCGAACAGG
This 253-nucleotide ribosomal RNA is filed under the name uncultured bacterium. RNAcentral describes it as "partial 16S ribosomal RNA". It matches the Rfam family "Bacterial small subunit ribosomal RNA", at positions 524 to 776 of the family's 1533-position model. The record is from RNAcentral.